AAUGGGCGCAAGCCUGAUGCAGCAACGCCGCGUGAAUGAUGAAGGCCUUCGGGUCGUAAAGUUCUGUCCAAAGGGAAGAAUACAGUGACGGUACCUUUGGAGGAAGCCCCGGCUAACUACGUGCCAGCAGCCGCGGUAAUACGUAGGGGGCAAGCGUUAUCCGGAAUCACUGGGCGUAAAGGGAGCGUAGGCGGUUUGACAAGCCAGAGGUGAAAGGCAAUAGCUUAACUAUUGUAAGCCUUUGGAACUGUCGAACUUGAGUGCAGGAGAGGAAAGUGGAAUUCCUAGUGUAGCGGUGAAAUGCGUAGAUAUUAGGAGGAACACCAGUGGCGAAGGCGACUUUCUGGACUGUAACUGACGCUGAGGCUCGAAAGCGUGGGGAGCGAA
RNAcentral lists this ribosomal RNA (387 nucleotides) under uncultured bacterium. RNAcentral's name for it is "bacterial SSU rRNA". It matches the Rfam family "Bacterial small subunit ribosomal RNA", at positions 370 to 772 of the family's 1533-position model. The record is from RNAcentral.